This 123-nucleotide non-coding RNA is filed under the name Candidatus Brocadia. RNAcentral describes it as "c-di-GMP sequence". It matches the Rfam family "c-di-GMP-I riboswitch aptamer". From Rfam's summary of the family: GEMM was predicted in a large-scale screen for bacterial structured RNA regulatory elements. Genes associated with GEMM are involved in a diverse array of functions, including chemotaxis regulation, signal transduction, secretion and chitin. Lineage: Bacteria; Pseudomonadati; Planctomycetota; Candidatus Brocadiia; Candidatus Brocadiales; Candidatus Brocadiaceae. The record is from RNAcentral.
UCGCGAUAAGGGCAAACUCUGAGUGAUCAGGGGGCGCAAAGAAAAGGGUCUUUUAAACAUACAAGGAUAUGUAGUUUAAGAUGAUGCCUGUCCUUGAGUGAAAAAGAUAGCCUUACUGCCGUG